GUGUUGCUUGACAUCCACCAGGAUGGGAGCCUGGAGAUGCCUCUCACCAUGGAUAACGUUAAAGCCAUCAUCUUGGUGAGUGAGACCUCAUCUCUAGCUUCCUUAUUUUAAAAUAAGAUUAAAGUUUAUUUUCACAAAUUUAGAAAAAAAUAUAUCCAUAUGAAUCAAAAAGUAAAAUAUAUAAGAAAAUAAAAAAAAAUCCAACGUAGCAGUCUGCAACGCAGUUUCUGUAUAAUUAGCCAUUAGGUCUAUUUUAUUUCUGAUUUUAUUUUUAUUUGAUCGAGCUUCUACUAGCUCCAGUCAUUCCUUGUUUUUGGAGUGCUCGAACAAAUCAAUACAUAUAGUUUAUUUGCUAGUGAGAUCUGUAAAAUUGGUCUAUUUUAU
RNAcentral lists this long non-coding RNA (384 nucleotides) under Phoenix dactylifera (date palm). Its description in RNAcentral is "long non-coding RNA (PDAC_LNC016679)". The record is from RNAcentral. Lineage: Eukaryota; Viridiplantae; Streptophyta; Magnoliopsida; Arecales; Arecaceae.